AAUCUUAGAUUAUAAUAACUUAUUAUAUUCAGUUGUAUAUAUUACGUAACUUUAUUCACUAAUAUUUUAUACUACAAUAUAUUAUCAUUAAUGCGUAUAUGACACUAUUAUUAUUAUUCGUAUGGCGGCUUAAACGAUUAUAAAAUAACGACGAUGUUAUUGUUGCGGGGUCUAACUUCGUUGAGACCGAAGUCAAGAUUAGAACAUUUUUCUACGUCUUUUGCACGGUUUGUAAACGACUAUUUCUCUCCGAAACACUACUAUAUUUGUUAUUAAUAUAGGAUAGCGCGUUGGGAUAAAUCCGUUGUUAUUUUUUGAAAUAAAACUUUGACGGCGCAACUUUUUAACUUGUUAACCUUGACUACGUUACCGAUGUGUAUUGAGAACGGCUGAAGCGCUAAUAUCAUUAAUGUGAUGACCAUGACGGCUAAUAACCGUAUGUGCAACGAUUGUCGGCCGUACGCGCCCAACAAUUUUCUCUCAAUUUUCAACGCGAAGGUCACAUUGCGACUUUCCAAACCAGCUCGUGUCGAUCAACGCGUGAUUCCGAACGACAUGAGAGGUAUUUUUUUAUUUUUUCAAUUUUAAUUUUUCGUUUUAAACGUAUAUCCGACCGAACGGGCCAGAAUACCGUCCGACUCGGGAAGGGGGAACCGGUGCGCGUUCUCCCCGCAGGCCGCCGACGGUCGGAACGAACGUAGCGACGGACUCUCGGGCACGUCGUCAGUCAGCGACCGUCGUUCGUGGUACGCACCGGCCAACAACCAACGACGUCGUAUCAGCUGGUCCGCUGUACGUUCACGUAACGCUUUUCGGUUUCCUCUAUUGCGUUUGGAUUUUUUUUUCUUUUUCUUCGUCCGAUUAACGCAUCCGUAUCACCUCAUCUGCCACCGUCGCCGAUCACGUAACUACGUUUAUCAAAAAAAAAAAAUCAAAAAUCUAUACGCAGGAAACGCAGUCGCGCAGAAGAGUUGAUGCAUCGCGAUCCACAACUGUUUCAUCACCGCGUUGACGAUAUUCUCGCUACGCUCCGACGUGCACUGUUCACAUCGUAAACCCGUCCGCCGUCCGAAGACCGUAAGUACAUGUAAUCACAACGCGAGGUCGCGAUUCCAAGCAAUAAUCCAAGCACCUCCUUCGUCCCAACAGCAAUUCCGUAGUGUUAGUUAUGCGUUUCCGCGCCGGUUUCGGUCGCUCGUACGCGCGACGUUUUGUCAACGGACAACAGCCGUAUUCGAUUUGCUCUCGGAGUCCGUUUUAUCGUUUUUUUUUUUUCUCGUCGACGUUUCGUUGAUCAUCGAUAUCAGCUAUUGAACUAUGACCGCUUCUGUUGUACACCAUACUCUCCGCGCUCAAUCGCACCGUUCCGUAGAGCGUUCUGAGAGUGAAAAGAUCCAUUCAUUAGAAGAUGAGCCAUGAGAAUUCGGAUUGCUUGAGUGAAUGUGUCCCAUAAGAAAUGUACAAAGAAGAAUCGCGUUUAGUAAGUAACUUAAGUAAGGUAGGAGUUGAGUAAAUUUCAACGAUUGAUAACAUAUAUGUGUCUAAAUACCUUCCAUUUAAAAAAAAAAUUAAGGAAAUCAGCUGGAGAGAAUGGCCAGAUGAACUAAUUUUAGU
This 1614-nucleotide unclassified non-coding RNA is filed under the name Sipha flava (yellow sugarcane aphid). Its description in RNAcentral is "uncharacterized LOC112684247, transcript variant X1". Lineage: Eukaryota; Metazoa; Arthropoda; Insecta; Hemiptera; Aphididae. The record is from RNAcentral.